This 403-nucleotide ribosomal RNA is filed under the name bacterium. RNAcentral's name for it is "partial 16S ribosomal RNA". It matches the Rfam family "Bacterial small subunit ribosomal RNA", at positions 355 to 776 of the family's 1533-position model. The record is from RNAcentral.
UGGGGAAUAUUGCACAAUGGGGGAAACCCUGAUGCAGCGACGCCGCGUGAACGAAGAAGGUAUUCGUAUCGUAAAGUUCUGUCCUAUGGGAAGAUAAUGACAGUACCAUAGAAGAAAGCUCCGGCUAAAUACGUGCCAGCAGCCGCGGUAAUACGUAUGGAGCGAGCGUUGUCCGGAAUUAUUGGGCGUAAAGGGUACGCAGGCGGUUUAAUAAGUCGAAUGUUAAAGAUCGGGGCUCAACCCCGCAAAGCAUUGGAAACUGAUAAACUUGAGUAGUGGAGAGGAAAGUGGAAUUCCUAGUGUAGUGGUGAAAUACGUAGAUAUUACGAGGAAUACCAGUAGCGGAGGCGACUUUCUGGACACAAACUGACGCUGAGGUACGAAAGCGUGGGGAGCAAACAGG